RNAcentral lists this long non-coding RNA (313 nucleotides) under Capsicum annuum. RNAcentral describes it as "long non-coding RNA (CANN_LNC005240)". The record is from RNAcentral. Lineage: Eukaryota; Viridiplantae; Streptophyta; Magnoliopsida; Solanales; Solanaceae.
UUGAUGUCGAGAGAUAUUAGAUUUGCCUUUUAGGUUUGUUGGGUUCAUCUCUUGGUGAUAGUUUGAUCUUGGUAUAGGUAUGGAGUUUGAUACUUUAUUCUUAUGGUGUGGUUCUUAUUCUAGUGGAUUUAAAGGGGAUGGCGAUAGUUGGUCUUUCUUGUGACAGCUACUUAAGUUGGGAUUAUAGGUAUUCAUAUGAGGUUUAAAGUAUUGGAUUAACCAAUUCCCAGGUAAGGUUGUAGUUCUCCAAGUUUUUAGAGUUUUGGUUAUCUAUGGUGCAGUUGGUAGCCUUGUGGAUUCUUAGGUGUGCCUG